Unclassified non-coding RNA from Fukomys damarensis (Damara mole-rat), 307 nucleotides. Its record names the gene 7SK. It matches the Rfam family "7SK RNA". From Rfam's summary of the family: 7SK was discovered as an abundant small nuclear RNA in the mid-70s but a possible function has only recently been suggested. Two independent studies have found that 7SK RNA binds the CDK9/cyclin T complex (known as elongation factor P-TEFb). P-TEFb activates transcription by phosphorylating the C-terminal domain of RNA polymerase II. The record is from Ensembl. NCBI's taxonomy places the organism in Eukaryota, Metazoa, Chordata, Mammalia, Rodentia, Bathyergidae.
AGAUGUGAGGGAACCUGGCUGUGACAUCUCUCACCUCACUUAUCACCAGGAUUGAUUCAGCUGAUCUAGCUGGUUAGACAAAUGUCCCUUUCCUCCUUCAGUGUUCCAUGUGCAUCCCUCCUGAAGCCAUAUGCUCAAAAGAGGAUAAUUGUACCAACAGAGGAGAACUAUUCUUCAGUCAAGGUUAUAUGAGUUGCUGUACUCCCCUGCUAGAACCUCCAAACAAGUUCUCAAGAUCUCUUCAAUAUAACAAAGUUACUAGAUGUUAAUUUCUUGUUAAUAUAUUUUUUAAAAACUAUAUUAGUUA